RNAcentral lists this ribosomal RNA (305 nucleotides) under uncultured bacterium. RNAcentral's name for it is "bacterial SSU rRNA". It matches the Rfam family "Bacterial small subunit ribosomal RNA", at positions 334 to 638 of the family's 1533-position model. The record is from RNAcentral.
UUGCCCUACGGGCGCAGCAGUGAGGAAUAUUGGUCAAUGGGCGGGAGCCUGAACCAGCCAAGCCGCGUGAAGGAAGAAGGCGCCAGGCGUCGUAAACUUCUUUUGUCGGGGAACAAAGGGCGCCACGUGUGGCGUUGUGAGUGUACCCGAAGAAAAAGCAUCGGCUAACUCCGUGCCAGCAGCCGCGGUAAUACGGAGGAUGCGAGCGUUAUACGGAUUUAUUGGGUUUAAAGGGUGCGUAGGCGGUCCGGAAAGUCAGCGGUAAAAGCCCGGGGCUCAACCCCGGCGAGCCGUUGAAACUGUAG